GAUGAAGAACGCAGCGAACUGCGAUAAGUAAUGUGAAUUGCAGAAUUCAGUGAAUCAUCGAAUCUUUGAACGCACAUUGCGCCCUCUGGUAUUCCGGGGGGCAUGCCUGUUCGAGCGUCAUUAUAACCACUCAAGCUCUCGCUUGGUAUUGGGGUUCGCGGUUUCGCGGCCCCUAAAAUCAGUGGCGGUGCCUGUCGGCUCUACGCGUAGUAAUACUUCUCGCGAUUGAGUUCGAUAGGUCUACUUGCCAGUAACCCCCAAUUUUUACAGGUUGACCUCGGAUCAGGUAGGGAUACCCGCUGAACUUAAGCAUAUCAAUAAGCGGAGGA
This 329-nucleotide unclassified non-coding RNA is filed under the name soil metagenome. RNAcentral describes it as "partial contains 5.8S ribosomal RNA, internal transcribed spacer 2, and large subunit ribosomal RNA". The stretch from base 1 to 120 matches the Rfam family "5.8S ribosomal RNA", at positions 35 to 154 of the family's 154-position model. The record is from RNAcentral.